UACGAUAUGGUCUAGUGGCUAGAAUACCUGGCUUUCACCCAGAAUGCUCGGGUUUCGAUUCCCGGUAUCGGAA
Non-coding RNA from Aromia moschata, 73 nucleotides. Lineage: Eukaryota; Metazoa; Arthropoda; Insecta; Coleoptera; Cerambycidae. The record is from the annotation of a GenBank genome assembly.